UACGGGGGGGGCAAGCGUUGUUCGGAAUUACUGGGCGUAAAGGGCGCGUAGGCGGUUCGAUAAGUCAGCUGUGAAAACCAUGGGCUUAACUCAUGGCCUGCAGUUGAGACUGUCGGGCUGGAGUGUGGGAGAGGAGAGUGGAAUUCCUGGUGUAGCGGUGAAAUGCGCAGAUAUCAGGAGGAACACCGGUGGCGAAGGCGGUUCUCUGGGCAUUACCUGACGCUGAGGAGCGAAAGUGUGGGGAGCGAACAGG
RNAcentral lists this ribosomal RNA (253 nucleotides) under uncultured bacterium. RNAcentral's name for it is "partial 16S ribosomal RNA". It matches the Rfam family "Bacterial small subunit ribosomal RNA", at positions 524 to 776 of the family's 1533-position model. The record is from RNAcentral.